This is a long non-coding RNA of Stegostoma tigrinum, 262 nucleotides long. RefSeq lists it as uncharacterized. Lineage: Eukaryota; Metazoa; Chordata; Chondrichthyes; Orectolobiformes; Stegostomatidae. The transcript is spliced from 3 exons. The record is from RefSeq and is a predicted model, not a curated record.
GCUCCUUCACUUUGGAUUUGAUAUAUAGCUCUCUAUGGUGUUUGCAGUUUCUUCAUUGGCUCUGUUUUCCCAAGAAUAUAAGUCAAGAAUGAUGAACUAAUGUACAUAUUAACCAACUCUGAAAGUGAAAUUCUGGUACCUGAAAAUGAAGACUUACUGGCUAAAGUUGACUUUGUCUUAGUGACAAACAAAUCAUAUACUGGCAUUGAUAGACAUGAAAUGGAGAGGAUAUGUUACCUGAAAAAGUUGAAAGAGAUAGGCU